AUCAACUUUCGAUGGUAGGAUAGAGGCCUACCAUGGUGGUAACGGGUAACGGGGUGUUAGGGCACGACACCGGAGAGGGAGCCUGAGAAACGGCUACCACAUCCAAGGAUGGCAGCAGGCGCGCAAAUUACCCAAUCCCGACACGGGGAGGUAGUGACAAUAAAUAACAAUACGGGGUCCUUUCGGGUUUCGUAAUUGGAAUGAGUACAAUUUAAAUCUCUUAACGAGGAACAAUUGGAGGGCAAGUCUGGUGCCAGCAGCCGCGGUAAUUCCAGCUCCAAUAGCGUAUAUUAAAGUUGUUGCAGUUAAAAAGCUCGUAGUUGAAUUUCGGGAUCAGUACGUUGGUCGUGCCCUCGGUACGUACUGGCGUUACUGGUUCCUACCUUCUGAGGAACCGUUAUGUCAUUAAUUUGGUGUGAUGGGAAAUCAGGACUGUUACUUUGAAAAAAUUAGAGUGUUUAAAGCAGGCUCGCGCUUGAAUACAUUAGCAUGGAGUAAUGAAAUAGGACGUUCGAUCCUAUUUUGUUGGUUUCUAGGAUUGACGUAAUGAUUAAUAGGGAUAGUUGGGGGCAUUAGUAUUCAAUUGUCAGAGGUGAAAUUCUUGGAUUUAUUGAAGACUAACUACUGCGAAAGCAUUUGCCAAGGAUGUUUUCAUUAAUCAAGAACGAAAGUUAGGGGAUCGAAGACGAUCAGAUACCGUCGUAGUCUUAACCAUAAACUAUGCCGACUAGGGAUCGGAUGAUGUUAAUUUUUUAAUGACUCAUUCGGCGCCUUACGGGAAACCAAAGUGUUUGGGUUC
RNAcentral lists this ribosomal RNA (799 nucleotides) under uncultured Glomeromycotina. RNAcentral's name for it is "SSU rRNA". It matches the Rfam family "Eukaryotic small subunit ribosomal RNA", at positions 314 to 1114 of the family's 1831-position model. Lineage: Eukaryota; Fungi; Glomeromycota. The record is from RNAcentral.